This 308-nucleotide ribosomal RNA is filed under the name uncultured bacterium. RNAcentral describes it as "bacterial SSU rRNA". It matches the Rfam family "Bacterial small subunit ribosomal RNA", at positions 30 to 334 of the family's 1533-position model. The record is from RNAcentral.
AUUGAACGUUGGCGGCAGGCCUUAGACAUGCAAGUCGAACGGUAACAGCAGAGCUUGCUCUGGCUGACGAGUGGCGGACGGGUGAGUAACGCGUAGGAAUCUACCCAGUAGCGGGGGAUAGCCCGGGGAAACCCGGAAUAAUACCGCAUACGCCCCACGGGGGAAAGAGGGCCUCUUCUUGAAAGCUCUCACUAUUGGAGGAGCCUGCGUUGGAUUAGCUAGUUGGUGGGGUAAAGGCCUACCAAGGCGACGAUCCAUAGCUGGUCUGAGAGGACGAUCAGCCACACUGGAACUGAGACACGGUCCAG